UAAUUAGUUGUUACUGUCCUACUUAUAGU
This 29-nucleotide non-coding RNA is filed under the name Bombyx mori (domestic silkworm). Lineage: Eukaryota; Metazoa; Arthropoda; Insecta; Lepidoptera; Bombycidae. The record is from RNAcentral.